UGGUCAUUAGCUUAGUCUGGGUAAAGCAUCCGUCUGAUACACGGAAGAUCGCGGGUUCAAAUCCCGCAUGGCCAA
This 75-nucleotide transfer RNA is filed under the name Actinomadura sp. WMMB 499. Its description in RNAcentral is "tRNA-Ile". It matches the Rfam family "tRNA". From Rfam's summary of the family: Transfer RNA (tRNA) molecules are approximately 80 nucleotides in length. Their secondary structure includes four short double-helical elements and three loops (D, anti-codon, and T loops). Further hydrogen bonds mediate the characteristic L-shaped molecular structure. tRNAs have two regions of fundamental functional importance: the anti-codon, which is responsible for specific mRNA codon recognition, and the 3' end, to which the tRNAs corresponding amino acid is attached (by aminoacyl-tRNA synthetases). tRNAs cope with the degeneracy of the genetic code in two manners: having more than one tRNA (with a specific anti-codon) for a particular amino acid; and 'wobble' base-pairing, i.e. permitting non-standard base-pairing at the 3rd anti-codon position. Lineage: Bacteria; Bacillati; Actinomycetota; Actinomycetes; Streptosporangiales; Thermomonosporaceae. RNAcentral also lists the same sequence under 1 other name. The record is from RNAcentral.